This is a long non-coding RNA of Aquila chrysaetos chrysaetos, 3582 nucleotides long. RefSeq lists it as uncharacterized. The record is from RefSeq and is a predicted model, not a curated record. The transcript has 2 exons. NCBI's taxonomy places the organism in Eukaryota, Metazoa, Chordata, Aves, Accipitriformes, Accipitridae.
UGUUGUUUGUUUUAUUUUGUUUGUUUGUUUAUCUCCUAAGCUGAUAUGAAGGAAAGAUGGAAACAGCCUGCUGAAGGUCAAGGUGAGACUGACCAUCAGUUCACCCAAGUGCUGGUAUUCAUUCACCAGCAGAAAUCCGUGCUCACAGGUGCUGGAAGUCUCCUCAGCAACAGAAACAGCGUGCUGCAGGGGACAAACAACUAGUCCUGACCUUCUUUACACAGCCCUUCUCUGGGAAAAAGUAUCCCCUGAAGUCAAUAUGCAUUCUGCCUAGCUUUCAUCAGAAGAAAAACGUCUGGAUUGAAAUGACAACAACAAAUAAUAGGUAAAGGAUGCUUCCCUAUGGCUUCAUAGAUCUGCUGUGUAACAGAAAACAUUCAGCCCUGAGCACACAAGAGCUGUAGUUCACGUCUCCCUCCAAAGAAGCCUCAUUUUAAAGAAUGUUGUAGCAUACCUACCUAAUGCAGAUGCUGUGCUGCAGGCAUUUCAGGCUGUGAAUUUCAGCCUGUGCCCUUGGCUAGGCUGUUGAGGACAAGUUGCAGUACCUGUCCUUCUUGCAGAGAUCCCAGUCCACCUUCAGCCGUGUCACUCACUGCUUGCGAGCUCCCUGUUUUGCUGUGCAUCAAAGUUUCAUUUCGUUCCCUUCCCUCCCUUUUCUUUAGGUGUCAGUGAUUUGCACUCUCUCCACCUAAAUCAGAGAUCUGGCACAUCAAUACUUAGAAGGCUUAGGAGAAGAGGAAAACAUCAAUAUUUCACUGAACACACAAAGUUGCACAACUCCCCAGUCUCCAUUUUAAUGUCAGCUGUGGUUAGUUUGGGUUUUUUUUCCAUAGGCUGACUGAUUUCAGCUUGUCUUUGAAUACUACCUGUGCAAAUAGCUUGGUUUUCUCCAUUGCUAGUGUUAACAAGGAACCGUGAGGUGUUUGUUCAGGCUCACUAGUCAGGCAGUCUGGAGGUGGCUGACUUCUAGGAAAAGCCCCAGCAGGAAUAAGCAAGAGCCAGCCUAUGCACCAGGCACAGCUUUUGCGGGUCUUUAGCUUAUGCUCCAGCUCGCGCUUAUCUUCAACUAAUUGCCAUCAGCAACUGUAAUAUAGACAAAUGCAAAGGAAAACAAGCUGGACGCUUAGUCAUGGAGCUGCGCUUAGGAAUUAUGGCCCAUUAUAAGGCAGCUUCACUGACUACAGCGGAGCUGUGCCAGCUCACUGCAAUUUAGGACUUGCUCCGCUUGCAUUAGUCCACAGUCUGAAGUUUGCGAUCUCGUCCUUUGUGUGAACUAGAUCACGCAGAUGGGGGUACCGGCGUCACAGGGAAGUCGAGCAGAGUUCCGCAUGAGUACCGGCGUGAGAAGGAGCAGCAAUUAUCUCUAAAUUCACUCUGCCGGCCUGUCGUUUCUGAGCUCUCCCCCUGCUGCUCUGUAACUGGAAGCCUUGCGCUCUAGAAGAAGGGAAGAAGAACAUUUUGCUCAUGCUCAUAUUAACCGAGUCGUCUUGUGAGAUGCUGAAUCUGUGAAAUUGUAUCUCCCGUGGUGUUCAGUGGUAAUGACUGUCUCCUAUGUGGACUCUCUGGUGUCUAGUAGUACAGUUGUGUUUCUACAGUGGAUACACUCCCAGGGUUUUCCUCCUCUGCCUGCCUACUUCCACAGCACUUGUAGGCAGCUCAAACCUUUGAGACUUCCAUCCCCUGUCAAGUUUGAUCAAACUCAGCUCACAGGUUCAAAAAAUUAUUUAGGAGGGACUGACUGGCACUUACACAGACAGUGUGAUCUCGUAAGCUUCCUUUCCUUGGGAAACUAGGCUACCACCCUAGCAACGGGGGAAAAAAAUGCCAUUCUGCUAGCAAAAAGGACCUAAACAUUGGGAGGAAAGAGGGAAGGUGGGAGAGGAAAGUGAAGCUGUUUUGAAGGGAAAAAUAUCACUGCGUUGUGGCUGCAGAGCUCUUGCACACUUAAGGAGCCAACCUUGGAGAGGCACACUGGAGAAAAUAUUCUCCAGAAGAUGGCAAGAUCUCUUGUGAAAAUUAGUAGGGGAGAGAAAUCAGCUGGAUUCGUCUCACCACCAGGCAUCCUAAAUGGAUAUUUAUAUGGUAAGGAUUGUCUCCGGUGGUACCCGUUUCUCUCUACUGACUAGAGGAAGACACGGACACAACUAGCAUGCAAUCCAUGUGCCUGCAAUAUCUGAAGUGAGGUGGGUCCUAUCCCAAAGGGAAUGAUCCUCUUACCACUCUCUCCUUCAGACCAAAGUUUUCCAUGGUGCUGCUGCAGGGUUUGUUACUCCAUGUACAGCAUUUGUAUUUUAGAAAAACUGCUGUGUCUUAAUAGCUACAGAUGUAUGCAUGGUUUUAGUGGGCAUUUAUAAGCACUUAUCCUCUGUGCACUAAAACCUUUCCUGUCCUUGUAUCUUACGGAAUAAAAUCCUUUAAGUGAGCUUUAAUGAUUCUAGUACUACUUCUUCACAAAUUGGAGAGCUGUCAUCCUGUUUUUAUUUGAUAUCACACAAUGUUUGAGGCUGUCAAAAGUAUUAUAGGGCAUACUCAUAUAAACUGAUACUUAAUUUCAGUAGUUAUAAUGUCACUAAUUGUAUUUUUGCACCUGAUGCAAUUACUGACAUUCAGCUCUUGAGUUCUGCUUUGUUCUUUCUGGAUUUAGGUGUUCCUUACUCUUUAAUCUUCCCCACCUACGGUAUAUCGUACAUACAAUGGAACUCGGAAAUAAAAGCUCAGACCUUCCCAUCAAUUGCUGUGCGCCAAAUGCACAUGAUAGUUUGAAAUUCUGGGUGUACCCAGAGUGCAGGAUAUGCUCAAAACCCCACUUCCUAUUACCAUGGCAUUUUUAUGAGGCUUAGAGUGGGUUGUGUUAUCCAGAUGUUGCACAGUGCUUAAGUGCUUGUACUUGCCUAUUGCUAAAGGCCUUCCAUUUGCAAUUUUUAGAGGGCUUUUUUGCUUGUAGCCUUUCACUUUACGUACUCUGGGCUUCCCCUCACGGCCUUGCACUGGUGCAUUUGUUAUGUUAUAUUGCCUGAGAAAGGGCUUGCUUCCUACGGCUCAGCCAUCCUUCUGUCCUCUUCACCUCUACCUUCCCAGCACGUUGCUGUUGAGUUACAGUUUGUAGUCUGCACUGAGAUUCCCGUACCCUGUCCACUUGGUGCCUUCUAGACUGAUGACUCUGUAUUAGAACAAAUAUGACAGAUAAUGAGUAAAUAAUAGUCAUUUAAAUACAUAAGUAUUACCUAAUUACAGACAUGUACAAGGCUUAGCAGCCAAUUAGCGUGCAACAUUUGUACCUAAUUAAACAUAAUCCAGUCAGUGCCAGUGUUGUCAUCAGACAAAGAUCACUGAAAGGCAACUUGAGCAGGCUUUAAUGAAGGGUAUAAUUUUACCAGGGGAAAAUUAUAGGGGGUGGUUGUUGAUAAGAUGGUGAUCCCCUGCUGCAAUGGAGCAGACACCCAGGAGAGGACGUUGACCUGAGGACUCCCGACUGCAUCUCUUCUUGGCUGGCCACUGGCUACAAUUUUCCAUUUAAUCUUGAACUUGAUGUAUGCCAUCCGCUACAAAACCAGUGAAUAAAGCAUGUGCUUUCUGCCUGUU